Carassius carassius (crucian carp) is the source of this 1794-nucleotide long non-coding RNA. RefSeq lists it as uncharacterized. The record is from RefSeq and is a predicted model, not a curated record. The transcript has 2 exons. Lineage: Eukaryota; Metazoa; Chordata; Actinopteri; Cypriniformes; Cyprinidae.
GAGAACUACCAUGUUAUUAAAGUAUUUUUCCUCUUGUCACGUCUCAUCUUGCCUAGGGCACCAGGAGAGCCAGUGCUGCCCCCUCAAAAAAGGUGCAUGAUGCCUCAGGAUAAAAUUAAGUCCAGUCUUGCAUUGAAUAUCCUAUUUCCCUCUGUAACGCACAUUACAGAAAUAAAAUAAUAUUCAACAGCAUUUGAUAUUUAUUUGAAAGGGUAGUUCACCCAAAAAUGAAAACUGUCAUAGGUACUUACCCUCAUACCAUUCCAAACCUGCUGUGUGACACUGAAGGUAUUUUGCAGAAAGAAGAAAAAGUCACAGGUCUGGAACGACAUGAAGGUCAGUAAAUUGACGACAUUUUCAUUUUUGGCUGAACUAUUCCGGUAGGUGUAAGAAACUGAUCCAAUAGCUUGAUCUAGCGAUCUCUCAGAAAGUAUUUUGCCCAAAACGAUCAAUUUUUGUUGUGAAUGGAGCGUUCGUGUUUGUGUUUUCACCUAAAGUUCCAGUGUGAUUUGGACAACAUGUGGCUCUUCUAAAAUGUUGGCGCUAACCAGGUCACUAACUGUGCUUUAGAGCAGGUUUACUUUGCCUGUCAAUGACGCCUCCACGACAUUGAUUUGCACUCACGGCCUGCGCAGAAGACACACUCGUAUCGAUUAGCUGUCUCUAUUCCAUUCCUCAGAAAUCAAUACUGUUUGUGGCUUUGCCAGUCUGCAAUGAUAUAUUUUUGUGAAGCGAUUGGGAUUAAAGACAGCAUUCUACUAGUGAUUGAGGUUAGGUUUACCGUGGUUUGAUGAGGUGGGCGGAGUCUGCGUUUCGAUAACGUGCCAUCGCGUUCGUCACUGAUAAAUAGUUUUGCCGUUGCGCGGCUGUUGUUUAUACCAGCUGAAGCUCAAUGACUCAUGGUGACACAUUGUGAGUAAGCGCACUUGUGCCCAAAAACAACAAACAACGCGGCUGUUCUCAUUUAGACCCAAUUGAAGCGCUCGUUCCACUGCUUGGUGAUGGAAUGACCUGUUAGACGAAAUCUGUUCAACAUUUACUCCAACUGUGCAUUCAUAUCGUUUUCAUCCGCUAUAAAUGGAUUUGUUUGCUGUGGAACUGCAUAAAUUCUCCUCGAAGUUCAAGGUAGCUUCAUCUGGAGGCGUAAAGUUUGCGUGGAGAAAUAUAUAUGUAUUAUAAUACAGUGUUUGCUAGUUGGUGGUUCCAGGCAGUUGCGUGAAACUCCUUUAGGGGGCAGUACAGCUUCACGGUUUUUCCCGUUUAGUUGUAAAGCAUUGUGGACCUAAGCCCAGAUGUGAUCAACUGGAAACAAGAAGUGCACCUACUCUGAGCUACAAGGACGACACAAACCUGGCAGAGGCCCCCUGCGCUCCCUCCUGCCCUGCCUAAUGCCCACCUGCGUGCCCAUCUGCAGAAGAGCCCCACCAGUUGUUCUGUUUGUGUGCCAGGGUGAAUCAAGCCCAUCGGCUCUACUCCCAGGUAAACGCUAAUGGGUGGGAUUCGCAUGCUGAUGGAAUGACGGUUGUCAGGCGGAUUAAAACUAAAGAUGAACCAUGUGGGAGUUUCUUCCAAAGAGCCUGUGGAUAAAUCUCAUUAGCAUACCUGCUCUGUGGAUGGUUGUAAAUUGAACGAAUGACGUGCUGGAGAGGAUGAGGUUGGUUGAAAGCAGAGGGUGAAUAAACAGGCAGACGCAACACCAUAGUGCCACUAAGACCCCACCUGCCCACAAUUAAUCAUUAGAAUAGCACUCUGCUAGUUUUCAUGCCUCAGAAACCAUUAAACAUCUGGUCUCAA